CGGGCCUUUAAGUCAGUGGUGAAAGUUUGCCGCUUAACGGUAAGAUUGCCAUUGAUACUGGAGGCCUUGAGUGCAGAUGAGGUAGGCGGAAUGUGUAGUGUAGUGGCGAAAUACUUAGAUAUUACACAGAACACCGAUUGCGAAGGCAGCUUACUAAGUUGCAACUGACGCUGAGGCACGAAAGCGUGGGGAUCAAACAGGAUUAGAUACCCUGGUAGUCCACGCCGUAAACGAUGAUAACUGGUUGUUGGCGAUACACAGUCAGCGACUGAGCGAAAGCAUUAAGUUAUCCACCUGGGGAGUACGUCGGCAACGAUGAAACUCAAAGGAAUUGACGGGGGCCCGCACAAGCGGAGGAACAUGUGGUUUAAUUCGAUGAUACGCGAGGAACCUUAACCUGGGCUCGAACGCAGCGUGCUGGUGCCUGAAAGGGUGCCUUCCGCAAGAACGCGCUGCGAGGUGCUGCAUGGUUGUCGUCAGCUCGUGCCGUGAGGUGUCGGAUUAAGUUCCAUAACGAGCGCAACCCUUAUCUUUAGUUGCCAGCGGGUCAAGCCGGGGACUCUAGGGAAACUGCCAGCGUAAGCUGUGAGGAAGGUGGGGAUGACGUCAAAUCAGCACGGCCCUUACGUCCAGGGCUACACACGUGUUACAAUGGCCGGUACAGAGGGCAGCUACCCCGUGAGGGGAUGCGAAUCUCCAAAGCCGGUCCCAGUUCGGAUCGAAGUCUGCAACUCGACUUCGUGAAGUUGGAUUCGCUAGUAAUCGCGCAUCAGCAACGGCGCGGUGAAUACGUUCCCGGGCCUUGUACACACCGCCCGUCAAGCCAUGGGAGCCGGGGGUACCUGAAGUACGUGACCGCAAGGAGCGUCCUAGGGUAAAACUGGUGACUGGGGCUAAGUCGUAACAAGGUAAC
Molecule: ribosomal RNA, 913 nt
Filed under: uncultured Bacteroidota bacterium
Lineage: Bacteria; Pseudomonadati; Bacteroidota
Description: bacterial SSU rRNA
Rfam family: Bacterial small subunit ribosomal RNA
Source: RNAcentral